AAGACCUUGCACUUUUGGAGCGGCCGAUGUCUGAUUAGCUAGUUGGUGGGGUAAUGGCCUACCAAAGCUUCGAUCAGUAGCUGGUCUGAGAGGACGGCCAGCCACACUGGGACUGAGACACGGCCCAGACUCCUACGGGAGGCAGCAGUGGGGAAUUUUGGACAAUGGGCGCAAGCCUGAUCCAGCCAUGCCGCGUGAGUGAAGAAGGCCUUCGGGUUGUAAAGCUCUUUCAGCCGGGAAGAAAAGGUUGCGAUUAAUAAUCGCAAUUGAUGACGGUACCGGAAGAAGAAGCACCGGCUAACUACGUGCCAGCAGCCGCGGUAAUACGUAGGGUGCGAGCGUUAAUCGGAAUUACUGGGCGUAAAGCGUGCGCAGGUGGUUUUGUAAGUCAGAUGUGAAAGCCCCGGGCUCAACCUGGGAACU
This 423-nucleotide ribosomal RNA is filed under the name uncultured bacterium. Its description in RNAcentral is "bacterial SSU rRNA". It matches the Rfam family "Bacterial small subunit ribosomal RNA", at positions 207 to 622 of the family's 1533-position model. The record is from RNAcentral.